RNAcentral lists this ribosomal RNA (250 nucleotides) under Staphylococcus aureus. RNAcentral describes it as "partial 23S ribosomal RNA". It matches the Rfam family "Bacterial large subunit ribosomal RNA", at positions 867 to 1115 of the family's 2925-position model. The record is from RNAcentral. Lineage: Bacteria; Bacillati; Bacillota; Bacilli; Caryophanales; Staphylococcaceae.
GCUUUAGGGCUAGCCUCAAGAGAUGAUUAAUGGAGGUAGACCACUGUUUGGACGAGGGACCCCUCUCGGGUUACCGAAUUCAGACAAACUCCGGAUGCCAAUUAAUUUAACUUGGGAGACAGAACAUGGGUGAAAAGGUCCGUGUUCGAAAGAGCAACAGCCCAGACCACCAGCUAAGGUCCCUAAAUAUAAGUUAAGGGAAAAAUGACGUGGCGUUGACCAGACAACUAGGAUGUUUGCUUAGAAGCAG